GAUGAACGCUAGCGGGAGGCUUAACACAUGCAAGUCGAGGGGCAGCAUAGGGUAGCAAUACCCUGAUGGCGACCGGCAAACGGGUGAGUAACGCGUAUGUAACCUACCCUGUACAGGGGGAUAACCCGGAGAAAUUCGGACUAAUAUCCCAUAACAAUAUCCGGGGGCAUCUUUGGAUAUUUAAAGUUCCGGCGGUACGGGAUGGGCAUGCGUAACAUUAGCUAGUUGGUAAGGUAACGGCUUACCAAGGCUUUGAUGUUUAGGGGUCCUGAGAGGGUGGUCCCCCACACUGGUACUGAGACACGGACCAGACUCCUACGGGAGGCAGCAGUGAGGAAUAUUGGUCAAUGGGCGCAAGCCUGAACCAGCCAUCCCGCGUGCAGGAAGACGGCGCUAUGCGUUGUAAACUGCUUUUCCAGGGAGAGAAACUUGCGCACGUGUUGCGCAAUUGACGGUACCCUGGGAAUAAGCAUCGGCUAACUCCGUG
Molecule: ribosomal RNA, 487 nt
Filed under: uncultured bacterium
Lineage: Bacteria
Description: bacterial SSU rRNA
Rfam family: Bacterial small subunit ribosomal RNA
Source: RNAcentral